Molecule: ribosomal RNA, 710 nt
Filed under: uncultured bacterium
Lineage: Bacteria
Description: bacterial SSU rRNA
Rfam family: Bacterial small subunit ribosomal RNA
Source: RNAcentral
GGGAUAACCUUGCGAAAGUAAGACUAAUACCCAAUGAUAUCUCUAGAAGGCAUCUGAAAGAGAUUAAAGAUUUAUCGGUGAUGGAUGGGGAUGCGUCUGAUUAGCUUGUUGGCGGGGUAACGGCCCACCAAGGCAACGAUCAGUAGGGGUUCUGAGAGGAAGGUCCCCCACAUUGGAACUGAGACACGGUCCAAACUCCUACGGGAGGCAGCAGUGAGGAAUAUUGGUCAAUGGACGAGAGUCUGAACCAGCCAAGUAGCGUGCAGGAUGACGGCCCUAUGGGUUGUAAACUGCUUUUAUAAGGGAAUAAAGUGAGUCUCGUGAGACUUUUUGCAUGUACCUUAUGAAUAAGGACCGGCUAAUUCCGUGCCAGCAGCCGCGGUAAUACGGAAGGUCCGGGCGUUAUCCGGAUUUAUUGGGUUUAAAGGGAGCGUAGGCCGGAGAUUAAGCGUGUUGUGAAAUGUAGAUGCUCAACAUCUGAACUGCAGCGCGAACUGGUUUCCUUGAGUACGCACAAAGUGGGCGGAAUUCGUGGUGUAGCGGUGAAAUGCUUAGAUAUCACGAAGAACUCCGAUUGCGAAGGCAGCUCACUGGAGCGCAACUGACGCUGAAGCUCGAAAGUGCGGGUAUCGAACAGGAUUAGAUACCCUGGUAGUCCGCACGGUAAACGAUAGAUGCCCGCUGUUGGUCUGAAUAGGUCAGCGGCCAAG